RNAcentral lists this long non-coding RNA (224 nucleotides) under Lathyrus oleraceus (garden pea). RNAcentral describes it as "Pisum sativum (pea) long non-coding RNA (PSAT_LNC018010)". Lineage: Eukaryota; Viridiplantae; Streptophyta; Magnoliopsida; Fabales; Fabaceae. The record is from RNAcentral.
GUGGUAUAAGAUAUUUAAAAGGUUAGGGAUUUAUUUGGCUUUUUUUAGGAAGUCGAGACUUUUUGAGUUUAUUCUUUCUUUAGGUGGUAAGGAUAAGUUUAGAUUCUUUCUUUAGGAAGUCGAGGUUUUGCUAUGAUUCGAAAUGCAGUGAUGUGGUAUAUCUGGUUGAGGGUAAUGAUUAGUUGUUUUUCGGAUCAUCAAUAAACACGCAAGAGGUGGAGUAU